UCCCCUGUAGUUUAGUUGGUCAGAACACUAGAUUUGUAAUCUUGUGACCUCGGUUCGAAUCCGAGUGGGGGAU
Molecule: transfer RNA, 73 nt
Filed under: Bacteriophage sp.
Description: tRNA-Thr
Rfam family: tRNA
About the family: Transfer RNA (tRNA) molecules are approximately 80 nucleotides in length. Their secondary structure includes four short double-helical elements and three loops (D, anti-codon, and T loops).
Source: RNAcentral